AGUGAACGCUGGCGGUAGGCCUAACACAUGCAGGUCGAACGGCAGCACAGUAAGAGCUUGCUCUUACGGGUGGCGAGUGGCGGACGGGUGAGGAAUACAUCGGAAUCUACUUUUUCGUGGGGGAUAACGUAGGGAAACUUACGCUAAUACCGCAUACGACCUACGGGUGAAAGCAGGGGAUCUUCGGACCUUGCGCGAUUGAAUGAGCCGAUGUCGGAUUAGCUAGUUGGCGGGGUAAAGGCCCACCAAGGCGACGAUCCGUAGCUGGUCUGAGAGGAUGGUCAGCCACACUGGAACUGAGACACGGUCCAGACUCCUACGGGAGGCAGCAGUGGGGAAUAUUGGACAAUGGGCGCAAGCCUGAUCCAGCCAUACCGCGUGGGUGAAGAAGGCCUUCGGGUUGUAAAGCCCUUUUGUUGGGAAAGAAAAGCAGCAGGUUAAUACCCCGCUGUUCUGACGGUACCCAAAGAAUAAGCACCGGCUAACUUCGUG
This 492-nucleotide ribosomal RNA is filed under the name uncultured bacterium. RNAcentral's name for it is "partial 16S ribosomal RNA". It matches the Rfam family "Bacterial small subunit ribosomal RNA", at positions 29 to 507 of the family's 1533-position model. The record is from RNAcentral.